Molecule: long non-coding RNA, 787 nt
Organism: Cydia splendana
Lineage: Eukaryota; Metazoa; Arthropoda; Insecta; Lepidoptera; Tortricidae
Exons: 3
Source: RefSeq, a predicted model, not a curated record
AGCUACAUUUUGUACAAGCAAAGAAGAUGUGGUCCAAGUUGCCCUCAUCCAACCCACAUUCACACAAUGAGUUCGCACGGACACCAAUCAUAGCCAGAAAUAACGGAGUACAUACUUUGCCUAAGCGUAAACGGCAAAUGGUGGAUAUUACCCACUUUGGAGAAGUACGGAAUCGAUAGAACCAUGGUUUUCGAGUAAUUCGAGGUUGUACACAGCCAUAAUGUUUACCAGUCUCCAAUCUAGAGAUAUCCCAUUGCCUCUGCCAUGUAUUAAACAUAUCAGAUAGUGCACAACUCAACAGCCUCAAGAAUAGCAACUGCCUCACCUGUGAAAAUGGACGCUUGAGGAGGACAUUUAAAUGGAAGGACGAUAUUGUACCGUGGAAUCCACACCGCUGCUCCCACACAUCUUGCAGGAUCCACCUUAGAAGCGUCAGUAAAAACCGUGACCUCCAGUGCCAGCGCCUGCAAGCGUGGGAGCAGCAAGUGGUUGUUGUAAGAGCUGGCUUUGAUCAAGAACCUGUCGGCGAGGUAUUGUCUGCGUAGAGCCAACGGCGGUUCAACACCUUCCACCUGCAUGCCAUUUUUGGGAGAGGGAAGCAUAGCACCUAGUAUGAUCCUUAAACAUUUAGCCUGUAUAAGAUCUAAUUUAUCUAGACCAUCCUUAUUACAGGGUUCCAUUAAAAAUGCCCCAUAGUCUAUAUGGCUACGUAUGAUGGCAUUGUAUAGUAGCUUCUGGCAAUAAGGAUGGGAACCCCACCAGACACCCGACAAUGCUCGAAGAAUAU